RNAcentral lists this ribosomal RNA (1533 nucleotides) under Lactiplantibacillus plantarum. Its description in RNAcentral is "16S ribosomal RNA". It matches the Rfam family "Bacterial small subunit ribosomal RNA". The record is from RNAcentral. Lineage: Bacteria; Bacillati; Bacillota; Bacilli; Lactobacillales; Lactobacillaceae.
UAAUUUGAGAGUUUGAUCCUGGCUCAGGACGAACGCUGGCGGCGUGCCUAAUACAUGCAAGUCGAACGAACUCUGGUAUUGAUUGGUGCUUGCAUCAUGAUUUACAUUUGAGUGAGUGGCGAACUGGUGAGUAACACGUGGGAAACCUGCCCAGAAGCGGGGGAUAACACCUGGAAACAGAUGCUAAUACCGCAUAACAACUUGGACCGCAUGGUCCGAGUUUGAAAGAUGGCUUCGGCUAUCACUUUUGGAUGGUCCCGCGGCGUAUUAGCUAGAUGGUGGGGUAACGGCUCACCAUGGCAAUGAUACGUAGCCGACCUGAGAGGGUAAUCGGCCACAUUGGGACUGAGACACGGCCCAAACUCCUACGGGAGGCAGCAGUAGGGAAUCUUCCACAAUGGACGAAAGUCUGAUGGAGCAACGCCGCGUGAGUGAAGAAGGGUUUCGGCUCGUAAAACUCUGUUGUUAAAGAAGAACAUAUCUGAGAGUAACUGUUCAGGUAUUGACGGUAUUUAACCAGAAAGCCACGGCUAACUACGUGCCAGCAGCCGCGGUAAUACGUAGGUGGCAAGCGUUGUCCGGAUUUAUUGGGCGUAAAGCGAGCGCAGGCGGUUUUUUAAGUCUGAUGUGAAAGCCUUCGGCUCAACCGAAGAAGUGCAUCGGAAACUGGGAAACUUGAGUGCAGAAGAGGACAGUGGAACUCCAUGUGUAGCGGUGAAAUGCGUAGAUAUAUGGAAGAACACCAGUGGCGAAGGCGGCUGUCUGGUCUGUAACUGACGCUGAGGCUCGAAAGUAUGGGUAGCAAACAGGAUUAGAUACCCUGGUAGUCCAUACCGUAAACGAUGAAUGCUAAGUGUUGGAGGGUUUCCGCCCUUCAGUGCUGCAGCUAACGCAUUAAGCAUUCCGCCUGGGGAGUACGGCCGCAAGGCUGAAACUCAAAGGAAUUGACGGGGGCCCGCACAAGCGGUGGAGCAUGUGGUUUAAUUCGAAGCUACGCGAAGAACCUUACCAGGUCUUGACAUACUAUGCAAAUCUAAGAGAUUAGACGUUCCCUUCGGGGACAUGGAUACAGGUGGUGCAUGGUUGUCGUCAGCUCGUGUCGUGAGAUGUUGGGUUAAGUCCCGCAACGAGCGCAACCCUUAUUAUCAGUUGCCAGCAUUAAGUUGGGCACUCUGGUGAGACUGCCGGUGACAAACCGGAGGAAGGUGGGGAUGACGUCAAAUCAUCAUGCCCCUUAUGACCUGGGCUACACACGUGCUACAAUGGAUGGUACAACGAGUUGCGAACUCGCGAGAGUAAGCUAAUCUCUUAAAGCCAUUCUCAGUUCGGAUUGUAGGCUGCAACUCGCCUACAUGAAGUCGGAAUCGCUAGUAAUCGCGGAUCAGCAUGCCGCGGUGAAUACGUUCCCGGGCCUUGUACACACCGCCCGUCACACCAUGAGAGUUUGUAACACCCAAAGUCGGUGGGGUAACCUUUUAGGAACCAGCCGCCUAAGGUGGGACAGAUGAUUAGGGUGAAGUCGUAACAAGGUAG